Molecule: ribosomal RNA, 293 nt
Filed under: uncultured bacterium
Lineage: Bacteria
Description: partial 16S ribosomal RNA
Rfam family: Bacterial small subunit ribosomal RNA
Source: RNAcentral
GGAUUAGAUACCCUGGUAGUCCACGCCGUAAACGAUGUCUACUAGCCGUUGGGGUCCUUGAGACUUUAGUGGCGCAGCUAACGCACUAAGUAGACCGCCUGGGGAGUACGGUCGCAAGAUUAAAACUCAAAUGAAUUGACGGGGGCCCGCACAAGCGGUGGAGCAUGUGGUUUAAUUCGAAGCAACGCGAAGAACCUUACCAGGUCUUGACAUCCUGAGAACUUUCUAGAGAUAGAUUGGUGCCUUCGGGAACUCAGAGACAGGUGCUGCAUGGCUGUCGUCAGCUCGUGCCG